RNAcentral lists this non-coding RNA (69 nucleotides) under Ctenophora environmental sample. The record is from RNAcentral. Lineage: Eukaryota; Metazoa; Ctenophora.
AUGUACAUAAUAGCAUUUUAUUUUCUUUCUUUCUUCUCUUAAGUUUUUCUUUCUUUCUUUCUUUCUUUU